This 74-nucleotide transfer RNA is filed under the name Bacteroidota bacterium. RNAcentral describes it as "tRNA-Cys". It matches the Rfam family "tRNA". From Rfam's summary of the family: Transfer RNA (tRNA) molecules are approximately 80 nucleotides in length. Their secondary structure includes four short double-helical elements and three loops (D, anti-codon, and T loops). Further hydrogen bonds mediate the characteristic L-shaped molecular structure. tRNAs have two regions of fundamental functional importance: the anti-codon, which is responsible for specific mRNA codon recognition, and the 3' end, to which the tRNAs corresponding amino acid is attached (by aminoacyl-tRNA synthetases). tRNAs cope with the degeneracy of the genetic code in two manners: having more than one tRNA (with a specific anti-codon) for a particular amino acid; and 'wobble' base-pairing, i.e. permitting non-standard base-pairing at the 3rd anti-codon position. The record is from RNAcentral. RNAcentral also lists the same sequence under 2 other names. Lineage: Bacteria; Pseudomonadati; Bacteroidota.
GGUCCGAUGGCCGAGUGGCUAGGCUCUGCUCUGCAAAAGCAGCUACAGCGGUUCGAAUCCGCUUCGGACCUCCA